Molecule: long non-coding RNA, 1891 nt
Organism: Pocillopora damicornis (cauliflower coral)
Lineage: Eukaryota; Metazoa; Cnidaria; Anthozoa; Scleractinia; Pocilloporidae
Source: RefSeq, a predicted model, not a curated record
GCCUUGGGUGUUUACGCGUUUGCGAUGGCGCCUUUUUUUUUCAUCGAUUGAAAUUAAGAAAAUUAUACAGCUACAUACUUAAAUAUCGUGUAAGACCUUUUCUCGAAGAAGUUGUAGGAGCUAGUUGUUCUUUUAGUACUUUCGCGCAUCGAUCAACUUAUUUACACCUUUCAGAUUAAUAUCUACUUCGACGAUGUGGUCGUUUUAAAUAACGGUCUAGAGUUUCUGAAAAUACUCUUAAAAGGUGGGACCAAUAUUUCAUGAAAAAAACGCUAUCAGCCCCUUUCAGUCAACAGCUUACUGUGAGAACAAAGAUCUCAAAGUGGUUGUCCACGUUUACAGGGUUGAAAUGAAUGGAUUCUAUAGAACACCAGACAUUUGAAGAGGAAACCACACGUUUGCAACAAACGCAGCGAAAUAUCACCAAUCAAACGUGCUAACCUUUUAACCAUAACGACUACCCCGAAGAAUUGAAACAAUCGCAAGGAACUCACGCCCACCUCUAGAUCAUUUUACACGAGAAAAGGGUCGUGGGUGGAUAACUCUAACGACCAACGUGAUUUGUUUUUUAUUGAAAACGAAAGAACUUUUCACCCUCUAUUGUUGCGUGACGGACACACAAAUAUUACCAAGCAGAGGAAAACAGCUUAUAUUGUUCACUAAAGAAAAGGAAUAUUCAUCUAUGAGUCCAUAUUGCCAGAUUAAUAUGCAGCACACGAUUGACAAACAAAUCAAAAGAAAAGAGGGUGGAUUUCGAAACAGCAUCGGUAACAAUAUAAUUUUUUUUUCUUAUGUGUAACAACAGUGUGGACGUGCUCGAUCAAAAAAAACUAGAGUUUAGUUGACGAGUGUUUUCGUUGACCGCGGAAACUUGAAACAGUUAUUGAUAAACAUCGACAAUGCCACUUGAGUAAUAGAAUCGAAGUAAAAGUUUCAUUUAUCCUAAUUUCUUAUCACUGACCAGACUUUUUUCCACAAUUAAAUUCAACUACAAGAUUAUCUUUCCAAUCAAGGAAAGUGUGUCCAUUUCUAAGUGUCUAAUUUCCUGUGUUUUUCUCGUUUAGUUUCAAACUAGCGGAACUCGACGAAUUUUUUUUAACUGUUCUCCUUCUUUCAUGCGAAAAUUUCUUCAAAUAAUAAAAAUCCCACCCUUGAAGAGACGUGAGGUCUGUCUAACCGCAGGAAAUUCUAGGUUGUUUCAAAGUUAGCGUGAUUCCCUCAAGAAUUGAGCAAGAGAAAACCAGAUUAAGUAUGACGCAAUUUGACAACCACGUGAAAUUAUAAUCUCCCAGGUCGACUCCAAAAUUGAACCUGUUUUGUCUGUUUAUUGAAAAAAUGCACUGUAAUUCCUAGACGUGCAUCUUCUGACACAAGGUUAUUUCAAAAGGGGCUUCGCGACUUAGUAAAAGGUGUAAUAAAAUCCAAUUUAAAUAAAUGUUUUUGUUCUUGACAACAAAUUCGUAGCGAUAGUUCUUUAACUUGACCUUGUUGAUUACGUAAAUCUUCUUGGCACAAGACAAGCUCAGUACACAAAAAAAUUGAAUGUUUCGUGACUUUUGCGCAAUGAGGAAAAAGCAGACGAAUGCAAGAUUUUAACCAACAACUUCUAGCAUUCGAAAGGUCGGAAAUGAAGUAAAUCUUUUGCGCAGAGGGCGUUAAAAAUGCUGACACAACACGCAAGAAAUAAUCCUUUCCGUCGUCAAGCAACAACCAAGCAAAACAAACAAGCUCCAGGGAGAAAAUACAUUUUUCCUGUCAAUGGAGCUGAGGAAAUGAUUCAGCAACAACGAGAAUCCGUUUACAACAACCUAGGAUGCUACUUUGGAGGCGAGUCCGGAAUCCCGGUUCCUGGAAAACUGUUCCCAAACAGAGGCGAAGUGGGAGGUAGGAC